Molecule: ribosomal RNA, 433 nt
Filed under: uncultured bacterium
Lineage: Bacteria
Description: partial 16S ribosomal RNA
Rfam family: Bacterial small subunit ribosomal RNA
Source: RNAcentral
AACGAACGCUGGCGGCAUGCCUAACACAUGCAAGUCGAACGAGACCUUCGGGUCUAGUGGCGCACGGGUGCGUACCGCGUGGGAACCUGCCCUUAGGUUCGGAAUAACUCCCCGAAAGGGGUGCUAAUACCGGAUAAUGUCUUCGGACCAAAGAUUUAUCGCCUUUGGAUGGGCCCGCGUUGGAUUAGCUAGUUGGUAGGGUAAAAGCCUACCAAGGCGACGAUCCAUAGCUGGUCUGAGAGGAUGAUCAGCCCCACUGGGACUGAGACACGGCCCAGACUCCUACGGAGGGGAGCAGUGGGGAAUAUUGGACAAGGGGCGAAGGCCUGAUCCAGCAAUGCCGCGGGAGUGAUGAAGGCCUUAGGGUAGUAAAGCUGUUUUACCCGGGAUGAUAAUGACAGUACCGGGAAAAGAAGCUCCGGCUAACUCCGUG